RNAcentral lists this ribosomal RNA (813 nucleotides) under human gut metagenome. Its description in RNAcentral is "bacterial SSU rRNA". It matches the Rfam family "Bacterial small subunit ribosomal RNA", at positions 509 to 1320 of the family's 1533-position model. The record is from RNAcentral.
CAGCAGCCGCGGUAAUACGUAGGGUGCAAGCGUUAUCCGGAAUUAUUGGGCGUAAAGGGCUCGUAGGCGGUUCGUCGCGUCCGGUGUGAAAGUCCAUCGCUUAACGGUGGAUCUGCGCCGGGUACGGGCGGGCUGGAGUGCGGUAGGGGAGACUGGAAUUCCCGGUGUAACGGUGGAAUGUGUAGAUAUCGGGAAGAACACCAAUGGCGAAGGCAGGUCUCUGGGCCGUUACUGACGCUGAGGAGCGAAAGCGUGGGGAGCGAACAGGAUUAGAUACCCUGGUAGUCCACGCCGUAAACGGUGGAUGCUGGAUGUGGGGCCCGUUCCACGGGUUCCGUGUCGGAGCUAACGCGUUAAGCAUCCCGCCUGGGGAGUACGGCCGCAAGGCUAAAACUCAAAGAAAUUGACGGGGGCCCGCACAAGCGGCGGAGCAUGCGGAUUAAUUCGAUGCAACGCGAAGAACCUUACCUGGGCUUGACAUGUUCCCGACAGCCGUAGAGAUAUGGCCUCCCUUCGGGGCGGGUUCACAGGUGGUGCAUGGUCGUCGUCAGCUCGUGUCGUGAGAUGUUGGGUUAAGUCCCGCAACGAGCGCAACCCUCGCCCUGUGUUGCCAGCACGUCAUGGUGGGAACUCACGGGGGACCGCCGGGGUCAACUCGGAGGAAGGUGGGGAUGACGUCAGAUCAUCAUGCCCCUUACGUCCAGGGCUUCACGCAUGCUACAAUGGCCGGUACAACGGGAUGCGACACGGCGACGUGGAGCGGAUCCCUGAAAACCGGUCUCAGUUCGGAUUGGAGUCUGCAACCCGACUCCA